Molecule: ribosomal RNA, 466 nt
Filed under: uncultured bacterium
Lineage: Bacteria
Description: partial 16S ribosomal RNA
Rfam family: Bacterial small subunit ribosomal RNA
Source: RNAcentral
GAUGAACGCUGGCGGCGUGCUUAACACAUGCAAGUCGAACGGAAAGGCCACAGCUUGCUGUGGUACUCGAGUGGCGAACGGGUGAGUAACACGUGGGUGAUCUGCCCUGUACUUCGGGAUAAGCUUGGGAAACUGGGUCUAAUACCGGAUAGGAAUCACAUGUGGGUGUGUGGUUGGAAAGCUUUUGCGGUAUGGGAUGAGCUCGCGGCCUAUCAGCUUGUUGGUGGGGUAAUGGCCUACCAAGGCGUCGACGGGUAGCCGGCCUGAGAGGGUGUACGGCCACAUUGGGACUGAGAUACGGCCCAGACUCCUACGGGAGGCAGCAGUGGGGAAUAUUGCACAAUGGGCGCAAGCCUGGUGCAGCGACGCCGCGUGGGGGAUGACGGCCUUCGGGUUGUAAACUCCUUUCGUCAGGGACGAAGCGAAAGUGACGGUACCUGGAUAAGAAGCACCGGCUAACUACGUG